Molecule: transfer RNA, 77 nt
Filed under: Bacillota bacterium
Lineage: Bacteria; Bacillati; Bacillota
Also listed under: 1 other name
Description: tRNA-Pro
Rfam family: tRNA
About the family: Transfer RNA (tRNA) molecules are approximately 80 nucleotides in length. Their secondary structure includes four short double-helical elements and three loops (D, anti-codon, and T loops).
Source: RNAcentral
CGGGCUGUGGCGCAGUUUGGUAGCGUGCCUGAAUGGGGUUCAGGAGGUCGCUGGUUCAAGUCCAGUCAGCCCGACCA